UCUCAGCCUCUCUGCCCCCGCUCGCUGUGUACGAAGCCAACCUCCAGGUCUCCACCCCGGGAAGACGCCUCCUCCUAAGAAGGGACGGUCGGGAUGCUGCGCUAGUUGUGUGGACAGUGGGAGAAAAGUUUCGCUCUCGAAUCUUAAAGAAGCAAGGCGAUCGAUUGGGGAACUCCUCCCAUGGCUUCAGGAAAAGCCACUCUAUUCUUUGGGAAAGCCCCUGUGUCCCGCCGGUUUUCCGCUUGGUCAGCAGGAUCUUCUACUGAAAGUAGAGUUCUCUCAUUCCAGUCUGCACGUACAGCUUGGAAAUUGCCAAACUGGAGAGCGAAGUCUGAGGUGGGCGGGUAGGGGAGAAGGUGGCAGCUCAACGGACGGAAGACUUUGGUUAUUAGCCAUAGACCUGGUUUAAGGAAUCAUGACCUAUAUGCAGAGAAAAUACAAGAUAAUGUCUUCUUAACUACAAAUUCUUGGGCAGAGUUGGCUAGUGACACAGGAAACAAGAAGGUGCAUGAUAAAUAUUCAUGAAUCGAUUGGUUGAUGUAGUGACAGAGGAUAGAAGAAGUAUCAUCUCAACAGCUGCCAGGAGGGUUAUUUGGGAAGGAUGUCUGUUAUCCCAGUCCUGAGGUCCUCAUCCUCAUAGAUGGAAUGAAAAAGGCACGAGGAGUAGAUGCUGGCAGCCCCAAUUGUCAUAGUUAUCAUCAUCAUUAUCACCAUCACCAUCAUCAUCAUCAUCAUCAUCAUCAUCAUCAUCAUCAUCAUCAUCAUUUCUUCUAUCCUCUCAUGAGAUAGAAGCAGUCCUGGGAUGUAUCACUGUCCUGUUAUUAAUCUUUUAUAUUUAGUGUAUGGUGGACAAUUGCACAGCAGGAAGAAAACUCAAAGACCUUGAACACAGGCCGAUAGACCAACAAGGAAGCUAUUAAUAACAAAAGGAAAUAUGACUUCUGUACAUCUAAAUGAGUUGAGCUAUCCAUAAGUAAAUAUUACAAGACAAAGGAAAAUGAAUCGAUGCCUGAUGAAACAGAAGACCCUGUUGACUACCAAGAAAACAUGGAACCACAGCAAGAUUUUCCUGAAUGGUUUAAGAAAGGAAUUUCUUCAUCAAGAGGAGUUGUUGUUCCUUAGAACUUCCUGUACUAAGACCAACCUGAUGUGAGCUUUUUGAUGUUAGCCUGCUUGCUUGAUUACCUCCUUUCAAGUUGCUAACUUUGAACAUCUGACAAAACUCUCACUCCUUUCUUCAGAAUAGAGGUCAGCACACUAUGACCUGUGGACUGCUUCCUCUUUUUGUAUGGCCCAGGAGCUUGCUGACCAUACAAAAAUGGGUAGCUGGAUUUGGCCCUUAUGCCAUAGUUUGUCAAUUCCUGCUUUAAAGAAAGAUAUGUGGAUAGUCUGAUACCUUUUCAGGGCAGGAAUGUUUGUGUGGAUGGGGCAUUCUCUACCCUUUUGUUACUUGUUCCUUCUCUGACCUUCUAUGUUAUCAAUUUCUUUUCUAUCCUCUGUCUUUUCCUUUUUCACUAUCUCCCUUUCUCCCUCUUUCUUUUCUCAGUUUUAGGAGAAAACUGAAAUCGUUUUAUUUGCAUUUUUGAUCAAAGUUUUAUGUUUCCUGUCCCAAAUUUUAAAAAGUAGGUGAUUUGAAUGUGUUAUGUGUAGCAUUUGGAGUGCAUCCUCUUAUAUGUACUUCAGAAAACUUUCCCUUUGGUUUUGGUAAACAGCCUGGAAUCUGACCCUUUGAGUUCAUGAGCAUCCAUAUAUGCUUUAUCUUGAUAUGCUAACAAAUUCUCAGUUGUGAUGUGUUGCCUGAAUAUUGUACUAUCUGGCCUUUCCCACUCUCUGAGACCAGCUUUCAGAACAGGCCUUUCCCUCCACUUGUUCUAAUGCCAUGGCUCCCAACCAUUUGGCACUAAUAGUUAGCUUAGCAACCUUUUAAAAAUAAUGCAAGCAAAAUGUAAAUCUUAGCCAAAUCCCAACUUAAUUAUAACAAAUCUGCAAUAGGGGGAAGGUGUCUAAAUUAAUUCUAUUUUACUGUACAUUUAUUGUGAAAUAAGCUUGGAGCUUCCAUAUCAAUCAUCUGUUGUACUUAUCCAGCUGGCCCUCGAAAGAGUGAGUAGACUCCAAAUUAGAUGCUUAGUUACAAAGUGACAUUUAAAAAAAAAAAACACCUAAUUUAUAAAUUGUAUCAUAAUAAGAAAAAGCUGAGAUCUGGUUAAAAUUGGGCAAGAAUAUUCACCAAGGGCUUCCAUUUGAGGUAUUGUGGUGCAGUGGAUAGAGUACUGAACUUGAAGUCAGGAAGACUUGACUUUGAAUCUCACCUUGUUCAUACAAUUUGGGAAUGUUAAGAAAGUCACUUAACCUUUCUGAAACUCAGUUUCUCCAUCUGCAAAAUGGGGAUAAAAUUACCUUUCUCACAGGCUUGAGAAUCAAAUGAGACAAUGCAUGUAUAUUGCUUGUAAACCCUGGAAUACUAUAUAAAUAUCAAACUAUAUAUAAAUAUCAACUAUCAUUAUAGGUACAGAGUUACUAAGGUGUAACACUAUUUCUUGUCUCUUUAAUGGGAAUUGUGAUUUGUAUAUAUGGUAUAAGAUUAUGACAGCAAAUAAUAAGAUAAGACAUGUAACAUGAUAUGCACAGAAGUAUAAUAAUUAAGAUGUGUUGAACAAAUGCAAAUUGUACUCAUUUAUAAAUUGUAUACAUUAUUUCAUUAUAUAUUUCACAGGAUGAAAAAAAAUCACACACCAUUCUCUUUGAUGACUCCAAGAGUAUGUACUCUACUGACAUUUUAUGUUAAGAUUGUUGGUUUAAGGCACCAAGAGAGAUUUUGGUCAAUGAAUAGUAACCUCCCGUGGCUCCUCCUCCUCCUCCCAUUCUCUCAGCUGCCAUGCUUCAUAUUUUACAGAAAAAAAAUUGAGGCCAUUUGCCAUAAGCUCUCUCUUCUUCCCCUUCCUAAUUUCAUGUCACUCAGAUGACUUCCGUCACUAUUUUCUUCUUCACCCUUGUCUCGCGUGAAGAGGUAACCUUACUCUUUACUAAGGACAACCCCAACACCUGCACAAGUGAUCCCAUUUCACCUCAUAUUUUCCACCAAAUUCUUCCCUCUGUCAUCCCUACUCUAACAUCUAUCUUCAGUCUCUCUCUGUCUAUUGGUUCCUUCCUUGCUGUCUACAAACAGGCCCCUGUCUCUUCCAUUUAAAAAACCCCUCAAAAACGCUCCUUCUCAAAAUCUUGCUGGAUCCUCAUUCAGAUCAUAUUUUCUAAUUAUAGGUGUCCUGAAGGGCUCUGUCUUGGGCUCUCUUCUCUUCUUCCUCUGUACUAUAUAACUUGCUGAUAUUAUCAGUUCCUGUCGAUUUAAAUAUCAUCUAUACACUGAUGAUUCCCAAAUCUACCUAAUCUGCCCUAACCACUCUGCGGACCUCCAGUCUCACAUCUCCAACUGCCUCUCAGACAUCUCAAAUUGGAUGUCAUGUAGACAUCUAAACUCAACAUGUUUAGAAUUGAAUUCAUUAUCUACCCUUCCCCCCCACAUACCCCAACUCUCCCAAUUCUCUAUUCUAUUUCUCUUCUAAUUUUCUAUUGGUGGAGAGGAUAGCACAAUGAAAAUUCAACAAGUUGUGUGGUUUGUCCUUUGUUCUCGAAGAGGACCAUGACAUCAGGGAGAUGAUGACGUGACUUGCAAUUGA
Long non-coding RNA from Vombatus ursinus (common wombat), 3674 nucleotides. RefSeq lists it as uncharacterized. The record is from RefSeq and is a predicted model, not a curated record. NCBI's taxonomy places the organism in Eukaryota, Metazoa, Chordata, Mammalia, Diprotodontia, Vombatidae. The transcript is spliced from 5 exons.